UAGGGAAUCUUCGGCAAUGGGGGGAACCCUGACCGAGCAACGCCGCGUGAGUGAAGAAGGUUUUCGGUUCUUAAAGCUCUGUUGUUAAGGAAGAACGAGUGUGAGAAUGGAAAGUUCAUGCUGUGACGGUACUUAACCAGAAAGGGACGGCUAUCUACGUGCCAGCAGCCGCGGUAAUACGUAGGUCCCGAGCGUUGUCCGGAUUUAUUGGGCGUAAAGCGAGCGCAGGCGGUUAGAAAAGUCUGAAGUGAAAGGCGGUGGCUCAACCAUUGUAGGCUUUGGAAACUGUUUAACUUGAGUGCAGAAGGGGAGAGUGGAAUUCCAUGUGUAGCGGUGAAAUGCGUAGAUAUAUGGUAGAACACCGGUAGCGAAAGCGGCUCUCUGGUCUGUAACAGACGCUGAGGCUCGAAAGCGUGGGGAGCGAACAGG
This 429-nucleotide ribosomal RNA is filed under the name Bacteroidota bacterium. Its description in RNAcentral is "Bacteroidetes bacterium partial 16S ribosomal RNA". It matches the Rfam family "Bacterial small subunit ribosomal RNA", at positions 355 to 776 of the family's 1533-position model. The record is from RNAcentral. Lineage: Bacteria; Pseudomonadati; Bacteroidota.